RNAcentral lists this long non-coding RNA (280 nucleotides) under Rattus norvegicus (Norway rat). RNAcentral's name for it is "long non-coding RNA NONRATT022755". The record is from RNAcentral. Lineage: Eukaryota; Metazoa; Chordata; Mammalia; Rodentia; Muridae.
CAGGAGGACCCUGGGAACACGGGGAAGCCAGGGGAAAGAGCUGGAUCCUAGUAGAUCCUUCUGGAAGUGGGGUCUCCUGGGCUGCAGGCUGGAAUCCUCAAGGAGCUGGAUUGUCCAUGCCUUGGGGAAGAUGAAGACUCGGGCCCGCCAGCAGCCCCAUCUUCUGAAAGGGAAGAAGAAAUGGCUUUUGUGGGCCCUCAGCGGCUUCCUCUUCCUGUUCUCAGUGACCAUGACUGGCUGCUUCCUGUGGCAGUACUACCUCCCCAAGUUGCAGAACGGU